RNAcentral lists this ribosomal RNA (288 nucleotides) under uncultured bacterium. RNAcentral's name for it is "partial 16S ribosomal RNA". It matches the Rfam family "Bacterial small subunit ribosomal RNA", at positions 333 to 617 of the family's 1533-position model. The record is from RNAcentral.
CAUGGCCUACGGGGGGCAGCAGUGAGGAAUAUUGGUCAAUGGCCGAGAGGCUGAACCAGCCAAGUCGCGUGAGGGAAGACGGCCCUACGGGUUGUAAACCUCUUUUGUCAGGGAACAAAGGCGGGGACGUGUCCCCGGAUGAGUGUACCUGAAGAAAAAGCAUCGGCUAACUACGUGCCAGCAGCCGCGGUCAUACGUAGGAUCCGAGCAUUAUCCGGAGUGACUGGGUGUAAAGAGUUGCGUAGGUGGCAUAGUAAUUAGCUAGUGAAAUCUGGUGGCUCAACCAUU